Molecule: unclassified non-coding RNA, 335 nt
Filed under: Hevea brasiliensis (rubber tree)
Lineage: Eukaryota; Viridiplantae; Streptophyta; Magnoliopsida; Malpighiales; Euphorbiaceae
Source: RNAcentral
CCAACGUUUCACCAGGAACCCAUAGAAGGGUUUCCGCUGAUUUCUUGGAGACUGCUCACUUCUUGAGGUCUUGCUCCCUCUGCAAGCGCCGAUUGGUCCCUGGCCGUGACAUCUACAUGUAUAGAGGGGAUAGUGCUUUCUGCAGUCUAGAGUGCAGGCAACAGCAAAUGAACCAAGACGAGAGGAAAGAGAAGUGCUCAUUAGCGUCUAAGAAAGAAGUUGCAACCUCCAACACCGCAUCAGAAGUCUCCACCAAAGGCGAGACUGUUGCCGCUUUGUAGAGGCACCUGCAGCCCAGAAUGGAAAAAGAUUCCGCCCGCUUAAUUCUAUCAAUA